AAAGGGUAGAGCUGAGUACAUCCCGGCUGCUCUUUCACGAUAUGAGACGAACCUUUCAAUAAAUACUACAGGUUGGACAGAGGAAGCGUUCGUGAUUCCAAUGAAAAGAACAGCUGCAUACAUGGAUCCCAUAGCAUUUAAUAUGUCCUGCUGAGUACUCCUCUUAGAACCAAACUUCCAGCAUAUACUUCCAAACAUCAAUGAGAUUAUGACCGUGUAGAAGAAGCGCACAGCAGUAUACUGUGGAUUUCUCCAGUAGGACAGGUUUUGCUUCCAUAAACAUGCAAGAAACUGUCCGAAAAAGGACUGAGAGUACUUGCUUGAGAAAUAUAGCUCAGCUGAACCUUCUUGUGGUUUGCUUAAACUUUCAACCAUUUCCUCAUUUUGCUGGAACAAAGCUGAUUUUCGAUAAAUGUCAGCAAAAUCUACACCGAGGCGAUUUUCUUCUGCUGAAGAAGUAACUUCAAGAACCCAAGCAGCAGGGUUCUGUCCAGACCUAAUUCUGUGAACUCCUUGAAUUUCCUCAAAAUACUGAAUAAGCUUGCAUGAUCUGUUCCCUAGUGAACCAGCAUAAAUGAGCUGUCCACCUCUUUUCAUGAGCAAAAGCUCGUCAAAUGAUUCGAAGAUAUCUAUACUAGGCUGAUGGAUGGUGCAGACAAUUGUUCUUCCAGUGUCGACAAUGUUUCUCACUGUUCUCAUUACAAUGGCUGCAGACCGGGCAUCUAGUCCUGAAGUAGGUUCAUCCAUAAAAACUAUUGAAGGAUUGGCUACAAGCUCAACCGCAAUCGUCAACCUUUUCCUUUGCUCUGUUGACAAUCCAUCUACUCCGGGUAGGCCAACUAAAGCUCCACGUAAUGAAGUUAGUUCCACUAGCUCCAUAACCUCUUCAACAAAAGCCUUUUGUGUUUUCACGUCAACCUGAGAAGAUAGCCGGAGCCAAGCAGAAAACAGUAGUGACUCAUGGAUAGUUAAGCAAGGGGAAUGAACAUCGUUCUGUUCACAAUAUCCGGAUACUCUUGCAAAAGUUUCUUGCUUCUUUGGG
Molecule: unclassified non-coding RNA, 1042 nt
Filed under: Hevea brasiliensis (rubber tree)
Lineage: Eukaryota; Viridiplantae; Streptophyta; Magnoliopsida; Malpighiales; Euphorbiaceae
Source: RNAcentral